This 681-nucleotide ribosomal RNA is filed under the name Triticum aestivum (bread wheat). RNAcentral describes it as "partial small subunit ribosomal RNA". Lineage: Eukaryota; Viridiplantae; Streptophyta; Magnoliopsida; Poales; Poaceae. The record is from RNAcentral.
AUGGUGAGGAUACAAGAAAAUAGAACUAAAGCUGAGAAAUUGGAAGGGGCCAUUUGUCCUAAUGUAUUCAAAAAACUGAAACAGAACAUCAAGAGAUCAGGAAAUUGUGAUGUCCUCUGGAAUGGCAAAGAGGGGUUUGAGGUACUUGAACAUGAGAAGUUCAAAUUCACUGUGAACUUGGAUGCAUGGACAUGCUCAUGCAGAUACUGGCAACUUUCUGGCAUGCCAUGUUGUCACGCAAUAAGUGCUAUCUACAAAACUGGCAGGAAAAUAGAUGAUUACAUUGCCAAGUGCUACUCUAUUGAAGUGUACAACAAAAUAUAUUCCCAUUGUUUGGAACCCUUGGAGGGGGAAGAAAGUUGGCCAAGAUCAGAUCGAGUAAAGCCUGCACCUCCAGGGUACAUUAGCUUGCCAGGCAGGGCAAAGACAGAGAGACGAAGAGAGGAGGGAGAAGCACCAAAGGGGAAUAAGAUGAGGAAGAUAGGAGGGACAAUAACAUGCAGUUCAUGCCAUAGGACAGGUCACAACAUGAAAUCUUGCACAAACAAUGGAGCAGGCAAGCACCAGGGCAAUUCACAUAUUGUAAGAGAUGCUGCAAGGAAAAGAAAACAAGACAAAGAUGCAAUGGAGGCAGAAAAUGCGAAGAAAGCAAAUGUACGAUUUAAUACUAGAGUAAAGUGA